CCUGAACGCUGGCGGCGUGGCUAAGACAUGCAAGUCGCACGGGCGUAGCAAUACGCUAGUGGCGAACGGGUGAGUAAUGAAUCGCUAAUGUACCCCGGACUUUGGGUAGUAGCUAUCCGAAAGGGUAAGGGUAAUACCAGAUGACAUAACCGCACGGCAUCGUGUGGUUCUCAAAGGUCCGCCGGUCCGGGAGGCAGGCGAUUUCGUUAUCAGCUAGUUGGUGAGGUAACGGCNCACCAAGG
Molecule: ribosomal RNA, 242 nt
Filed under: uncultured bacterium
Lineage: Bacteria
Description: partial 16S ribosomal RNA
Rfam family: Bacterial small subunit ribosomal RNA
Source: RNAcentral